RNAcentral lists this ribosomal RNA (451 nucleotides) under Modestana cf. ebneri 124. RNAcentral describes it as "partial 16S ribosomal RNA". It matches the Rfam family "Bacterial large subunit ribosomal RNA", at positions 1806 to 2529 of the family's 2925-position model. Lineage: Eukaryota; Metazoa; Arthropoda; Insecta; Orthoptera; Tettigoniidae. The record is from RNAcentral.
AACAAAAACAUGUCCUUUUGAGUUGAAUUUGAGGUCGGGCCUGCCCACUGACGUUUAGUUGAAGGGCCGCGGUAUUUUGACCGUGCAAAGGUAGCAUAAUCAUUAGUCUUUUAAUUGAGGGCUAGAAUGAAUGGUUUAACGAGAUACUAACUGUCUCUUUAUAAUAAGUGGAAUUUAACUUCUAAGUUAAAAGGCUUAGAUGAAUAUAAAAGACGAGAAGACCCUAUAGAUCUUUAUAUAAUAUUAUGUUUAUUAAUUUGGCUGUAUUUAUUGUGGAUGUGAUAUUGUAUUUUGUUGGGGUGACAUAAAGACAGGUGUAGCUCUUUAUAAUGGGAACAUUGAUUUAUGAUUGGAUGAUCCGUUAUUAGCGAUUAUAAGAUAAAGUUACCUUAGGGAUAACAGCGUAAUUUUUUUUGAGAGUUCAUAUCGACAAGAAAGAUUGCGACCUCGA